AAUAGGGAAUCCUCAAAGGACACUGACUUCAGACGUAGCCCAAUGAACCUGGAAGGCCAGGAUGAUGAGACGUACUUUCCCUUUAUCCUCAUACCCUCCUCCAACACUCGUUCCCUUGGAAUUGAGGAGAAACCACAGAGCCCCUCUGGAGACACAUCACAAGACAAAGGAAGCAAGAUAAAGUCCCCAGAAGUGUGGACCCUGUGAGGGUCCCACAAACCGAACCCACCGUGAGUGCUUGAACACAGAACCCCCUGCCCCAUUCACCUCCAGGAAGAAGCGGGGGCUCUCCGGCUGUGUGGUCAGAGCGCCGAUGGCAAACACCGAAGGGAAGGCACAGACGAGGACAAACACCCUCCAGCUGUGGAACUGGACUGCCUCCGGGGGCUUAGCAAGUGGCCACUCACCCAAUCCCAGAAAGGAGGCGGCAGAAGAGGAAAGUGCCAUAACCCUGGACGAAAGAUGAGAAAAAGGCGAAGACGCUGUUGACUGAGAGCGAGAUGAGCAGACACUGCCUCCGACCCAGCCGAUCAGCCAGACCUCCCCAGAGGAAGGCUCCCACCAUCAUGCCCAGCCAUGCUUCAGCUAAGCCCCAAGGAGUGGGGAUCUGCCCAGGAUCUCAUGGCAACUUGGGAGCAGAGCAAGACCAAGAGAUGCUUUGUGGGGGUCUGUGCCACCAUGGCCACCUCCUCCAGAACUAACUAAGCAGACCACCGCCCAAGCCCCAGCCCAGCACGAACAGCCUCACCGUGACCCAGUGUCAAGAGGAAGGAGUGAGGGGAGAGUGUGCAGAGGAACUCCAAGCCCUCUGGAGACAUCUUGGGACCAGGAUCCUAGGGAGCCCAGCGCACUAGGCAGCACAAAGCCCACCACAAAGACUUCCACACCAUCAGCCAUCAGCGCCAGGCCAAGCACGAAGUAGAGUGUCCACUGGAAGCGGCCGUGGCCACACUCCCGGAGGAUGGCUUCGUACUGCUGAG
Mirounga angustirostris (Northern elephant seal) is the source of this 980-nucleotide long non-coding RNA. RefSeq lists it as uncharacterized. NCBI's taxonomy places the organism in Eukaryota, Metazoa, Chordata, Mammalia, Carnivora, Phocidae. The transcript has 6 exons. The record is from RefSeq and is a predicted model, not a curated record.